AUUUCAGCUUGUUGCGGCUAUUGUACCAUAGCUGCACAUGCCGUGGGGUCAAAUGCCCAGUAUAACGUCUAAAUCUUGGGUUCCACAAGGCACCAAAUUAGGAUCAGUUCUCAGUAUCUCACAUAAGAAAAGGAGAGUUUCAUUAUAUAUAGACAAAUGGAUACACAUGAAAAUCACAUCACUCUAAACAAACACAAAAUAAAAUGCCACAACAGCUUUUAACUCCUGCUAAACAUUGAAUGGAGAAAAUAACCCACCAGCGUACACAAACACUAAACCACACUGUUCUUUCAUCACAUUUUCCCCCAACCCCACAUCGUCGUAAAGAGUCGCCACAAACAAAUUCCAGCACGACCCAUCAUAGCUUCUUAAUACAGCUCCUGUCUUCUGGAUUUAUAUCCUAGGGCCAGGUGUAGAUAAAUGAUACUCUCCAAUGACUGCUCUUACAAGGCAAGAGCCACCUCUUUAUUCUGCUUGAGCAGAUUGCAUGCAGCAAAACCAUUUUUUCUGCAAACCAAUAAUGCAUUUUGAAAUAGAAAGUGUCAUAGGAUGCUAGCCAACAAGAAUUUUUUGCCCUAAUGAAUUUGUAGAAAGAGAAACACGAAUAGAAGUGGUGAAGAAAGAAAUGGUAUUCAAUAGAAGCAACAGACAGGUAAUAAUAACACCAACUGAAGAAAAGAUCAAGGGAGAUCAUCUGAAAGCAUUUUUGCUGUGGCAAAAAAUCAGUGCAAAAAUGCAGACAGACAUGGAAUGGUUUUCCUUCUUCCCCCCUUUUCCAGUAAGUAGAGAUACCUUAAGAGUCAAGAGUCAUAAAGGAUUGCUGGUUAACACCAUAAUGCAUAGGAAAUGCAGCACAUAUCCUCCAAAAAAAGUUAGGCUAUCAUAUGAGUGAUCAAAGACCAGGACAGCAAACUGAGAGUGCGAGAGGAAGAUAACAUUGCAAAAAAAUUUUAUUUGUUAUAAAACAAGAUAUAAAUUCAAAUAAAAAGGAGUUUAGUAGCGUAAACCAAGCAAAGGAUAAAGCUUUAUUGACAGAAAAUGAGGUCAUCACCAACAAUUUUUAAAUGACCAAUGCAAUUCCAAUUUAUCACCAAACAUGAAGUCAACAGAUCAGCAGACGACAAAUUUUGAAUUUGGAAAUCAUUUAUCAUUAGCCUAAUAGAGAAAUCAGGAGGCAUACAUUAAAAGUGUUGUGCAUAAUUUUUUUUUAAAUAGAUCAUUAAUUCAGAGUAAAAAGUAAUGCUUAUCAACAGAAAUCUAUUUACCUCCACACAUGAAGGCAUGGAACUGAUAGUGUGAAACAGAAAUACUUGCAGGAUGAUGCUGGCAAGGUAUUUAAAAGGCUACUAAUUUAAGGUUUAAGCAAGGUUUCAACUUACAGGCUGAGGCUUUCCAAGUGUAGCAGUGUCAGACUUAAAUCCAGAGCUAUCCCUAGCUGGUGAGUCUGGCUUUCCACCUGACUUUUUCUCAUUCCUAGCCUUGUUGAAGAUGACUGUGAAUCCCUCAGCUGAUGCUGGAUCAUUGACAUCCCAUUCACCAAACUUAGGCAACGGCUGAUCCUUUUCCGCCAUGAUUAGGAGAUAGAAAGAGAAAUUCUACUCAACUCUCCUCCUUAGCUUGUGAUUAUGGUGGAGGAGGAGGUGGCGGUGGCAGUGAGAACAGACUCUAAGGGGGAUGAACAGAGAGAUAGAGAGAAGGAGAGGGGUAAAUGUGGGUCAAUUGGGUUUCGGCCAAGAAGAAAGAGGCUCAUAGAUAUUAUAAAAGGACGAAGUGUGGGG
Molecule: unclassified non-coding RNA, 1778 nt
Filed under: Hevea brasiliensis (rubber tree)
Lineage: Eukaryota; Viridiplantae; Streptophyta; Magnoliopsida; Malpighiales; Euphorbiaceae
Source: RNAcentral